GUAUAGAGGGUGAAUUCUGCCCAAUGGUUGUAUAGUGAAACUGAGGACUAACGUCUAAAGCGAAACCCAACUGAAUGGCCGCGGUAACUCUGACCGUGAUAAUGUAGCACAAUAAAUAGCCAAUUAAUUGUUGGCGGGUAUGAAUGGAACCACGAGGGUCUUACUGUCUCAAGAGGAAAGCCGAUGAAAUUAUAGUUGUAGUGAAGAUACUACAUAAACAUUGUAAGACGAAAAGACCCUAUUGAGCUUUACUGGAUACCGAUAGCGUUAACUUAAAAUGAUCGAUACUAAGUAUCCUAAUUUUGAGUUAAUAAUUUUUGUUGGUAGGACAGUUUAGUUGGGGCGACUACCUUUGAAUAAGAAACGAAGGCGAGCUUAUGGUAUACAAAGCUAAUCUCAUUAGCCUGACAGUGAGGGGGACACCCCUAGCUGGCACAAGGACUACGUCCUAUGUGGGCGAUAAUGACCCGAUAUGAUUGUCCAAAAUAAAUAUCGAAAGCGGAUAAAAGCUACCAUAGGGAUAACAGCGUAAUAUUGUCGGAGAGUUCUUAUCGAGGACAGUGUUUGCGACCUCGAUGUUGAAUUGCGGUGCCCUGGUGCUGUAGAAGGUACCUUAGGUUGGUC
This 624-nucleotide ribosomal RNA is filed under the name Inconstantia pannucea. RNAcentral's name for it is "partial 16S ribosomal RNA". It matches the Rfam family "Bacterial large subunit ribosomal RNA", at positions 1843 to 2577 of the family's 2925-position model. Lineage: Eukaryota; Metazoa; Cnidaria; Anthozoa; Malacalcyonacea; Incrustatidae. The record is from RNAcentral.